GACGUUCUGCUUUUUUAGAUGACUUACCAUUCAAGCCCUAUUUGGUCUCCACAGGCCUUUGCUUCUGAGCACGGGGGAGAUGGGGCUCUGUUACAUGGAUAUCUAAAGAGAUCCUAACCCUUGUCCUGAAUGAUGGAGAGACAAAUAUCUCUAGCCCAGCACCUAGUAAUGUGACUUUCUUUUGCUAAUUGUGCCCUCUGUAUGUAAGAAUUAUCUCAGCCCAGGUCAGAAAAGAGAGUCACAUUACCCAGUUGAUUGAUGCAUGAAUAUUUUGAUAUCUCCCUGGAGAGAAUAGCCCAGGCAGGAGAGACACAUCACUUAUGUCCUUUGCCUAGGUAUAAUUCAUUUUUUCAGAUGAGGUUGGGGCUCUCAUGCACAUAUCCAGCCCACUGUUGACACUGUGACUCAUGUACUUGGACAGAACUCACAAAAGGUGUUGACUUUCAUAUUUGGGACAGGUCACAUGCAAUAUUGAGACUCUCAUCCUUGGACCUUUCUGUGAGUGUUAAACAACAAAUCACUUGGUGAUGCACCCAGGUAAUGUGACUCUCCUGCUUGUGGCCUCCAUACACUGGGCAUUGUGACAUAAGUCCCUUAAGGGACUUACCUUUCAAGCCAUAUUUGGUCUUCACUGGCCUUUGCUUCUGAGGAUGAAGGAGUUGGAGCUUUGUUACAUGGAUGUCUAAAGAGAUUAUAACCCUCACCUUGAAUGACCAAUAGACUGACAUCUCUAGCGCAGCAUCGAGGUAGGAUUGUGAUCUCUGCCUAGGCCCAGCACACAGGCAUCAUGAUGUCUCUCAGAUGUGAAACCACCCAAGAGAAGAGAUUUUGGCUCUCAUAGAUAGAUUUAGGGCACAAGGAUCCUUCAUGAAGAAGAAAUUGUGACUCUUGUCUACAUACUCCGCUGAUAGUAAGGAUUAUCAUUCACCUUUAUGGAAAAAGCCCAUUGUUGAGAUUGUGAAUCUCACACCUGGAGGCAACAGAAAGUUGGAACUGUGAUUCUCAUACAUGGAUUCAGACGACAGCUGGACGAGACAGCUCCAAUUCCAAGCUGCAGCAGCAGGAGCAGCAGCCACGAGACAGCAAAUGCCGGAGCUGUUGGGAGUCAGAGGGUGAGGGGUCUUGUGGGAGGGUCUGCGCAGGACCGCAGCUGUUGGGGCCACGGGGCCAGGCCUGAAGCUGUAGAGGGGCUACCACUUCAAAGGUCGAUAUCAGCACGCAAUCCCCGGGUUUUAUUUUUCCUAUAGUUAAAUUGUAUUCCAUUGUGUGUAUACACCGCAUCUGCUCUGUCCAUUUAUGCCUUGACGAAAACUAAGAUUGAUUCCAAUCUGGGCUACUGUCAAUCGAGCUAUAAUAAACAUGGGAGUGCAGAUAUCUCUUUUAUAUACUGAUUUUUAUUUCCUUUUAACAUACACUCAAUAGUGGAACUGCUGGAUUAUACG
Molecule: long non-coding RNA, 1442 nt
Filed under: Callithrix jacchus (white-tufted-ear marmoset)
Lineage: Eukaryota; Metazoa; Chordata; Mammalia; Primates; Cebidae
Description: lncRNA (ENSCJAG00000078873.1)
Source: RNAcentral